Molecule: long non-coding RNA, 359 nt
Organism: Jaculus jaculus (lesser Egyptian jerboa)
Lineage: Eukaryota; Metazoa; Chordata; Mammalia; Rodentia; Dipodidae
Exons: 3
Source: RefSeq, a predicted model, not a curated record
GCCCUCGGGAGGAGGAAGUCAUGGUGCCUGGGACCCUGUCUCUGAGCAUCCGCACAGUUUGUGUGGUGGCAGGCCUGUCCCCUUCACACAGACCAGGCUUAGGGAGGGCAGGCACUGGGGUCCUCGCUCAAACCCAGCCCGAACUCCGAAGCUCAUUUCUGCUCUUCCAACCCUCCUUUGGCAUCUCUGGAUAGGACUAGGCCACAGAAUUCUCUCUGGGGAUGCUGAGCUGGGAUGUCGGCCCCACCAGCAAGAGUGGGAAACACCAACACUCCCAGUGGGCUAUGCUGCUCGACUAUUAGUGGUCUCAGGGUGAACUCAAACUCAAGGUGAUCCUCCUACCUCUGCCUCCUAAGUGC